This is a long non-coding RNA of Vicia villosa (hairy vetch), 1735 nucleotides long. RefSeq lists it as uncharacterized. The record is from RefSeq and is a predicted model, not a curated record. NCBI's taxonomy places the organism in Eukaryota, Viridiplantae, Streptophyta, Magnoliopsida, Fabales, Fabaceae. The transcript has 4 exons.
UUUUUGGAAUCUUCACUCUCUCUCUCUCUUGUCCUUUUUCACGGGUCUUUCUAUCACUUCAAUCUUUCUUCCUCUGCCACUAUGUUCUUCUUUAUCUUUUUCUAUCUCACCACCAUCCUCUUAUCUCUCAUUCAUUUCUCUUCCCCCUUCUUUCUAUUCCUUCUCUUUCUCUUUCUCCCCAUUCUCUUUCUCUUUAUCUAAGUUAAAACAUAUUAUCUUUCUUCUUCUUCUUCUUUUGGUAUCAUGCAGUCUGUAGUCUUCCUUCUUUUAGGUGUGUUUCAACGGUGAAGAAGAAUAAUAUGAAUGGCGACUAUGGGUUACCAGUGAUGAGAGUGGUGGUGGUGGAAACGAGCCUGCGACGACGAGUGUGGUGGUGGUGGUUGAAAUGGGUUAGCAGCAAUGAGUUUGUAGGUGGUGGAAACGGAAUUUCGUGACGAGUGUGGUGGUGGUCCGAUUUGAAAUGAUUUAUGUUGGACAUUUUCUAUUUAUGUUUUGUUACAGAUUUCUGACGACGAACCAAAUUCUUUUUACUACUUCUGUAAUAUUAGUUAUGCUUAUUGAGAUUUCCUAUUUUCACUUUCAGUAUCACAUUACAUGUUCACCAGGUACUCUAGAAGAUAAAUAUGAAAAGCUUUAUGGUGAAGAGAAAUGGACGGGGAAACCUCACGAGGUGCUAAAUCGGAAGGUUACAUUAGCUGGAAUGAAUCUGUUGCGUGUCAAUUUUUGUCAUAACGUUUGAAUUAUUAUACAUGGUUUAUACUUCGAAUGGGUCGAAAUCUAAUGUGGAGUUGCAAGAUGAUAUUGCCGGCAAAACUUUGACUUCAAGGCCGCCAAUACAUACAAUGAUCACAACACUAGAACAAUCUGGCAAGGAGAAUAAUUUCUCCAUCCAUAUAUAUUGAGCUCCAUCCAGCGUCAAGGUACUAGGAGUUUGUUUCCAACAAGUCAGCUUUUGCCAAGUAUAUAUGGAUACAAAUUUGGUUCAGAAGCUAAGCUUGCAGUGUUAAAGAACGUAUCUGGUGACUUCAAGAAGAUGGAAAAAAGAAUCUUUGUGUUUAUUAUUGGUGGGGCUACUCGAUCUGAGGUAAAUAAGAUAAAGAACUGCUGCAACAAUAUCUGGGAUUUCGCAACUGUAAUCCCAUCUUAAGAUUAUUUUGUUAUUUCCAGCUACGUGUUUGUCACAAACUGACAACAAAACUAAUAAGAGAAGUAAUCCUAGGCACUACUUCUAUGGAUGAUCCUGCACAAUAUCUUACGAUAAUAACUCCUUCAUGAUUUUUCGCAAGAAACUUAUAUAAAGCACAAUUGUUUCUCCUGAUGUGGUUUAAUGUGCAUAAAUUGAAGUUAUUAUGUGAGAGUAAAGUUACGCCUACGCUGGACGGCCUAGGAAUAUGAAGUGUUUCUUAAUACUGCUAAUUGCCAAAAAGUUGCCUAUACCUUCUGUAUCAAUUAUUACUCACCACCCUUAAUUCUUUAGACAUAGAAAGUUUAUGUUCACUUGUUAAGGGAUGAACACAGGGCCCUUUAAAUUUUGGUUACUCAAAUUUUGUCAUGUACGAUGGACAUUUGGUAUAACUGUUAGAUGAUAUAUUUUUCAUGUCAAACUCAGCUGAAAGAAAAUAAAUUAUAGCUUUUAUUUUUACUUCUUCCUUAUUCUCCCUUUUACAAUGAAUGACAUGCAAGUCUCUGAACCAAAUAAUAAAAUGUAAAUAUCAAGGAAGUAGUAACUAAGAAA